GAUGAACGCUGGCGGCGUGCCUAAUACAUGCAAGUCGAGCGAACAGACGAGGAGCUUGCUCCUCUGACGUUAGCGGCGGACGGGUGAGUAACACGUGGAUAACCUACCUAUAAGACUGGGAUAACUUCGGGAAACCGGAGCUAAUACCGGAUAAUAUAUUGAACCGCAUGGUUCAAUAGUGAAAGACGGUUUUGCUGUCACUUAUAGAUGGAUCCGCGCCGCAUUAGCUAGUUGGUAAGGUAACGGCUUACCGAGGCAACGAUGCGUAGCCGACCUGAGAGGGUGAUCGGCCACACUGGAACUGAGACACGGUCCAGACUCCUACGGGAGGCAGCAGUAGGGAAUCUUCCGCAAUGGGCGAAAGCCUGACGGAGCAACGCCGCGUGAGUGAUGAAGGUCUUCGGAUCGUAAAACUCUGCUAUUAGGGAAGAACAAAUGUGUAAGUAACUAUGCACGUCUUGACGGUACCUAAUCAGAAAGCCACGGCUAACUACGUG
Molecule: ribosomal RNA, 497 nt
Filed under: uncultured bacterium
Lineage: Bacteria
Description: partial 16S ribosomal RNA
Rfam family: Bacterial small subunit ribosomal RNA
Source: RNAcentral